ACCAAGGCAACGAUGCGUAGCCGACCUGAGAGGGUGAUCGGCCACACUGGGACUGAGACACGGCCCAGACUCCUACGGGAGGCAGCAGUAGGGAAUCUUCCGCAAUGGACGAAAGUCUGACGGAGCAACGCCGCGUGAGUGAUGAAGGUUUUCGGAUCGUAAAGCUCUGUUGUUAGGGAAGAACAAGUACCGUUCGAAUAGGGCGGUACCUUGACGGUACCUAACCAGAAAGCCACGGCUAACUACGUGCCAGCAGCCGCGGUAAUACGUAGGUGGCAAGCGUUGUCCGGAAUUAUUGGGCGUAAAGGGCUCGCAGGCGGUUCCUUAAGUCUGAUGUGAAAGCCCCCGGCUCAACCGGGGAGGGUCAUUGGAAACUGGGGAACUUGAGUGCAGAAGAGGAGAGUGGAAUUCCACGUGUAGCGGUGAAAUGCGUAGAGAUGUGGAGGAACACCAGUGGCGAAGGCGACUCUCUGGUCUGUAACUGACGCUGAGGAGCGAAAGCGUGGGGAGCGAACAGGAUUAGAUACCCUGGUAGUCCACGCCGUAAACGAUGAGUGCUAAGUGUUAGGGGGUUUCCGCCCCUUAGUGCUGCAGCUAACGCAUUAAGCACUCCGCCUGGGGAGUACGGUCGCAAGACUGAAACUCAAAGGAAUUGACGGGGGCCCGCACAAGCGGUGGAGCAUGUGGUUUAAUUCGAAGCAACGCGAAGAACCUUACCAGGUCUUGACAUCCUCUGACAACCCUAGAGAUAGGGCUUUCCCUUCGGGGACAGAGUGACAGGUGGUGCAUGGUUGUCGUCAGCUCGUGUCGUGAGAUGUUGGGUUAAGUCCCGCAACGAGCGCAACCCUUGAUCUUAGUUGCCAGCAUUCAGUUGGGCACUCUAAGGUGACUGCCGGUGACAAACCGGAGGAAGGUGGGGAUGACGUCAAAUCAUCAUGCCCCUUAUGACCUGGGCUACACACGUGCUACAAUGGACAGAACAAAGGGCUGCAAGACCGCAAGGUUUAGCCAAUCCCAUAAAUCUGUUCUCAGUUCGGAUCGCAGUCUGCAACUCGACUGCGUGAA
This 1065-nucleotide ribosomal RNA is filed under the name Bacillus sp. (in: firmicutes). RNAcentral's name for it is "bacterial SSU rRNA". It matches the Rfam family "Bacterial small subunit ribosomal RNA", at positions 267 to 1324 of the family's 1533-position model. The record is from RNAcentral. Lineage: Bacteria; Bacillati; Bacillota; Bacilli; Caryophanales; Bacillaceae.